Molecule: ribosomal RNA, 429 nt
Filed under: Chloroflexota bacterium
Lineage: Bacteria; Bacillati; Chloroflexota
Description: Chloroflexi bacterium partial 16S ribosomal RNA
Rfam family: Bacterial small subunit ribosomal RNA
Source: RNAcentral
UGGGGAAUAUUGCACAAUGGGCGCAAGCCUGAUGCAGCCAUGCCGCGUGUGUGAAGAAGGCCUUCGGGUUGUAAAGCACUUUCAGCGGGGAGGAAGGCGAUAAGGUUAAUAACCUUGUCGAUUGACGUUACCCGCAGAAGAAGCACCGGCUAACUCCGUGCCAGCAGCCGCGGUAAUACGGAGGGUGCAAGCGUUAAUCGGAAUUACUGGGCGUAAAGCGCACGCAGGCGGUCUGUCAAGUCGGAUGUGAGAUCCCCGGGCUCAACCUGGGAACUGCAUUCGAAACUGGCAGGCUAGAGUCUUGUAGAGGGGGGUAGAAUUCCAUGUGUAGCGGUGAAAUGCGUAGAGAUGUGGAGGAAUACCGGUGGCGAAGGCGGCCCCCUGGACAAAGACUGACGCUCAGGUGCGAAAGCGUGGGGAGCAAACAGG